UACGAAGGGGGCGAGCGUUGUUCGGAUUUACUGGGCGUAAAGGGCGCGCAGGCGGCUCAUUUUGUCAGGCGUGAAAGCCCCGGGCUUAACCUGGGAACUGCCUUUGAUACUGGCGAUCUCGAGUCCGGGAGAGGUGAGUGGAACUGCGAGUGUAGAGGUGAAAUUCGUAGAUAUUCGCAAGAACACCAGUGGCGAAGGCGGCUCACUGGCCCGGUACUGACGCUGAGGUGCGAAAGCGUGGGGAGCAAACAGG
This 253-nucleotide ribosomal RNA is filed under the name uncultured bacterium. RNAcentral describes it as "partial 16S ribosomal RNA". It matches the Rfam family "Bacterial small subunit ribosomal RNA", at positions 524 to 776 of the family's 1533-position model. The record is from RNAcentral.